AUACUUACCUGGCAGGGGAGAUACCAUGAUCAUGAAGGUGGUUUUCCCAGGGCGAGGCUUGUCCAUUGCACUCCGGAUGCGCUGACCCCUGUGAUUCCCCCAAACGCGGGAAACUCAACCGCAUAGUUUGUGGUAGUAGGGGACUGCGUUCGCACUUUCCCCUG
Oryctolagus cuniculus (rabbit) is the source of this 164-nucleotide small nuclear RNA. Its record names the gene U1. It matches the Rfam family "U1 spliceosomal RNA". Rfam says of the family: U1 is a small nuclear RNA (snRNA) component of the spliceosome (involved in pre-mRNA splicing). Its 5' end forms complementary base pairs with the 5' splice junction, thus defining the 5' donor site of an intron. Lineage: Eukaryota; Metazoa; Chordata; Mammalia; Lagomorpha; Leporidae. The record is from Ensembl.